RNAcentral lists this ribosomal RNA (620 nucleotides) under uncultured bacterium. RNAcentral's name for it is "bacterial SSU rRNA". It matches the Rfam family "Bacterial small subunit ribosomal RNA", at positions 434 to 1036 of the family's 1533-position model. The record is from RNAcentral.
UCACCAUUGGCGAAGCCGCCGGUUGUUCCGGUGGUGACGGUAGGUGGGGAAGAAGCGCCGGCUAACUCUGUGCCAGCAGCCGCGGUAAUACAGAGGGCGCGAGCGUUGUCCGGAAUCACUGGGCGUAAAGGGCGCGUAGGUGGCGGCAUAAGGCCGUGGUGAAAGUCGGGGGCUCAACCCUUGAUCGGCCAUGGCAACUGUGUCGCUAGGGCACCGUAGAGGCAGAUGGAAUUCCGGGUGUAGCGGUGGAAUGCGUAGAGAUCCGGAAGAACACCAGUGGCGAAGGCGGUCUGCUGGGCGGUGGGACGUGAGUCCCAAGAGCCGACACUGAGGCGCGACAGCGUGGGGAGCAAACAGGAUUAGAUACCCUGGUAGUCCACGCCGUAAACGAUGGGCACUAGGUGCUCCGGGGAGCGACCCUUGGAGUACCGGCGCUAACGCAUGAAGUGCCCCGCCUGGGGAGUACGGCCGCAAGGCUGAAACUCAAAGGAAUUGACGGGGGCCCGCACAAGCGGUGGAGCAUGUGGUUUAAUUCGACGCAACGCGCAGAACCUUACCUAGGCUUGACAUGCACGGGAAAGCUGCUGGAAACAGUGGCCCCUCUUCGGAGCUCGUGCACA